UAGAUAGAUCGUGUACAACACCACAAUGUAUAAUAAUGCUACGGUAACUCGAAUUUUCCCUAUCCAAGGAUUCUUUGUGGUAGCCAUUAAUCACACACUGUUGUAUCAGGUUUGUCAAUCAGAAUUGUAUUUUUAUAAAUAUAAGUCAUACACUUGGGACCCUCCCACUACUCGUCAUCUUUACUAUCAAUAUUUCACGUUUAUUUGCAUGGAUGGACCAAAAACCCAUGGCUAUGGCGAAGAUGGUUUGCUUGUGGAAUUUCUGGUUCUAUUCCUUUGUGUACAGUAAUGUCAUUAGAUGUGAUGUGUUGUUAUGAUUGUUGUUUGGGUUUUUAUUCCACUACCCAUCUUUAACAAACACCAUAAUUAUUAUCAGACAAUGUCAUUCCAUCAUUUUCAAACUUAUAAUUUUAGAUAAAGAAUAUUAUUGAAGGUAAUUAAAAUGUAAUUGAAAAUACUCUUCAGGUGUUUUUUUUUUAUCAUUAUUAUUAUUAGAAUGUAUUAAUUUUUUAGAAAUACAUUUAAUUUCCUGUAAUUGAAAGCAAAGUAUCUAGUGGUUGUGCACGAAUUUUAUUUUCAAGAAAAAGCUGCAUUUUGUGAUUCCCCACUAAUGAUGUAUAUUACAAAACUAUUGAUAAAUUUUAUAGUACUAUCAAUAUAUCUGAUAUCUCAAAUAAUACAUUCUAUAUCACUAACAACUAUUCUAAAUUACUAACGGUAUAUUGUAGAUCAAUAGGUAUCAGAGCGUUAUGUAGAGUUGGUACAUGUGAUGAAGACAAAAUAUCGUUAUAUAAUAGGCAGCCAUUUGUUCACAAAUACAACACCGGUAAUUUCUACAAUGUCUGGUGGCAAAUUGUUUAUGAUAUGGUCAUAGAGCUAAAAACAAAUGCUGUCAAUACGUGCCCAAAUUAAAUUUACAAAAGAUGCAAUAUUUGAUAACGACAGAUAAUAGUUUUACAUUGAGUGUAGAUGCAUGCGUAAUGUUUUAAUUUGGAGACUUUUUAUGCAUAUUGAUUUGUCUUAUUAUGUUUAAAUGCUGUUCUACAUGGGUUGAUUUAAGAUUUAUGACCAUCGAAUCUCGUGUCAUAAUGUUUUAAUUUUAUCAGUUUACUAUCAGAAUGCAUAGAUUAAAACUGAUUGUGUUAGAAGUACGGACUGCAAGUAUGCAAGUGCUAAUCAUUUAAAGUAUUUAAGUGGUAUAGGUGAAUGUUUUUGUUCCGUGUUGAGUUCUGUCUGUUUAUUCAUAAGUACGUGUACAAAAAUAGAUUCGAGAAACGUAGUAUCGUAUAAUUUCCCCUACAUGUAUAUUACCCUCGAUUACUCUGAAUUCCUCACAGGAUGUGAUAUCAUUCCCAGAUAAUGUAAAGUUCAUCAAGUGUAGAAAUGCUUAAUAAAAGAGUACGAGGUUUCCCUUCACUGCAUCGCAUUCGCCGAUAUUUCUGUAAUUUCCUGUAUCAACGGCAAAACAAACAACGAAUCGUUUUAUAGCCCGAUAGAGGGCACUCCCGUAGACACUCCUGUAUGUGGUUUUACUAUGGUCUCUGUAAAGAGCAUAAUAUAAAACCUUGCUUGGCCUCAUUGCCUGGCUUAGCCUCGAAAGUUGGCUUGGCCCCAAAUACAAUCUAAUUAAAUUAGAUCCUAUGAUCCGCUCAUGUGUAGUGGUAGUAGAUGAGCGGAUCAUAGGAUCUAAUUUUAAUUAGAUUGGCCCCAAAUAUGGCCUCUAAUUUAGCUCCAACUCAAAAUUUUGGCCUGACCUCAAAAGUUGACCAGGCCCCAAGACCAUAAACCGAGAACAGACUUACGUCAAAAUUAUGAUUACUUUUAUCUUAAGAUUUAUGUACCACAUAUGUGUAAAAAAAAAAAAAAAAAACAACAACAACAACAAAAAAACAACAAAAAAACAAACAAACAAAAAAAACUACAGGUAGAUAAAAAAAAAUGUAAUUGCAAACUUAUAUGUAUACUGAAAGUUUUAUUUGUUUAUGAAAAUUAUUUCAAUAGUUAGCUGGAUUUGAAAUUUAGAUUUAAGUCUAUUCUCAGUUUAUGGUCUUGAGGACUGGCCUCAAAGUUGAUCUGUAAAAAAAAUAUUUUCACAUUGAAAGCAAGACCAUAUGCCCUGUUCUCAAUGUGUUUUGCUCUCCAAAUCAAAGUCGCCAUGGCUGAUUAAACUUUGGUAGUAUCUGAAUUGACAGUGUAUCCGUCUGAAUACAGAGAGACCCAAUAAACCAAUCAUUUCAUCUGCAGUGCAGUUCAUGUACGCACUAGUUCAUAAUUUAGGAAUGAAAAAGAAAAUCGUUCAAUCAAUGAACUUAUCAAUAGAUAUUCAAUCAGAUCAGUUAUAGUGAAUUAUCAAUUUCAUGUGCAUACUUACAAAACAUAUCUACUUACUAUGACUUUGAAAGAGUAAAACCAAAAAAUCAAUAAAAUCAAUUGCAAUUCUGAUUUUAUUUUUUUUUUUUUUUUUUUUUUUUUGCUUCAGGCUAUAAAGUUUUUUUUAGUGGCCAGGUCAACUUUUGAGGUCAUGCCAAAAUAUAGGUUGGCCAAAAUUUAGAGGCCAAAAUUGGGACCUGGUGAACUUUGAGGUAAAGCUACGCCAAGUUUUAUAGUAUGCCUUGGCGACCUUGGCAAAUAUUCACAGUCACCUUCAGUCAAGGAGCAGCUAGUUUCGUCAAAUGGAAGUCCUUGGUCUAGUGGGUGAGGCUUUGGAUUCCCUAGCCAAGGACGGUGUUCCCUGAAACUGAAACACCGUGCAGCCUCCGUGAGUAUCUGCAGUGAUAUAAUCAUACCCUCGAAUUAAAGGCGGCGAAACUCUAGUUCUUAAACCUUCAAUCAGAAGUUGACAGGGGCUGAAUGACAAGGAACGGUUGGAUCAUAUCGAGACACGGGCUAUCCUGAGAGAAAUCAAAAUUCUGUAGGUUUAGGAAAAUAUCUACAAAAGAAACUGUAUCUGCCUUUCCUAUUAAAACUAGAGAAAUUCUGCAAAUCAUUGAAUUCAGAAUUACAAAAUGUACUGUAACACCCGGAAGCCAUCAAAGAUGUUUUCAUAGGGAGUAGUCCCUCUUACAUGUAUCAUUGAGGAAUGGAGGAUUCGGAUAAACAAAGUGUUCAUGCGAAUAAUGAUUUUUAACGGAUUGAAUAUUCUCAUCAGGGUUUUACCUUGUAUCAAUGGUAUAUUCUCGGAAUGUUGGAAUAUUCUCGGAGUGAUAGGAUGCGUUAUAUAACAUUUUGUAUUAAUAAAUGUAAUUUUAGCACACUUUCUUCAGAGAUAAAAACAAAUGUAUGAAUUCUUGUACAAAUGUAAAUAUGUAUGUUAGAAAAUUCUCUUUAGUGGUAGCAACGCUGUAUAAAACUUUUUUUGUUUUGUUAUAUGAUUGAAUGGUUCAGAGUAUUCUGAUUGGCUGAUAUUUAGCAAACUAGAAAAAAAGUGGAAUGUUAUGUUCACCUUUAUGUAUCUUUGAGGUGAAUAUAAGAUUUCAUUUCUUCAACAUCGAACCAGAUAUGAAUUGGGAAUUUCUAAAUUGACACGAAUAUUACUUCUCGUUCACGUGAAGAUUCGCGCCUCUAAUCACUUACCACUAGAUCUAUCACUCUUCCUGUAAACAGAGAUGGCCGACACGGUAUUAUCUGUUUUGCUCUGAUAGCUGGUUUGGAUGUUUUAAAGUACUCAAUUAUGUAAGAAACAAAAAUUAGCGGUUUUUAAAAAUAAUUUUCGACUAGGACUUGUACCCUAGCUGAGUGUAAAAACUGACCAGGUAAUAUAGAUUUCAUAGGUUCUAGUAGCCAGUUUUGAUUUUUCAAAUUAUGCAAUUAUAUAAUGAAACAAUUGUUGACAUAUUUGCGGUCAAUACGAUGAUUUAGUUACCUUUGAAAUACAACAUACAAUUUGCCCGUCUUGAUCAGUGAAUAUUAAAUCUCUCAGAUGGCUGCAUCAUCCUACCGACCUCAAAAGUGUCAACAAUUGUAUUGCAUAUCUAUAUUGGCAUAACUGUAAUCUUGUUGUAUGAAACCUGGUAUAAAUAAUAUAUGCACGUUGGCACAUUUUCUUCAGUGAUAGCAACACUGUAUAAAAACUGCAUUAAGGUAUAACUAUGUUGGCACAUUUUCUUCUCUCCAAGGAUAGAAACACUGCGCAAACGAAGAAAAUUGCACCUGAUCGUGUGUGCGGUGUGUUUGCACCUGAUCGUGUGUGCGGUAUGGUUGCACCUGGUCGUGUGUGUGGUGUGUUCUGUUGGCCUCUCGUUAGUUCCCAUUGUCUUUUUAUACAUCGGUAAUGGGGUCUUCCUUUGGAUGUCGUAUAUAGAGAUUGCAUUCCGAUGCUUCACAAUCGUGGAACAACUUAACAGCAAAUACCUCUCUUGUUGUCUUCUUAAAACAAUGCAUUUAAAUCUUAAUAUCACAGUAAACAUGUGUUAGUCAAUAGCUGAUCAAUAGUUUUUAAUAAAUCAAUGUCUGCAGAAUAAAAGUAGCUUCCCGUUGUGAAAGUCAUUGCAGCACAAAACCUUCCCUGUUGUCUGUAUGCAAAAUUGUUGUUUACAUGUACUUAACAUGCCUAAAUCGUUUCUCCCUUAAGUACAUCUACCAUCAGAUCAUCUGGUGAUGUUGCAAAGUCUAUAGAUAAAAUUUGUCUUCUUCCCACAAGUAUUCUCGUGGAUUCGUGCGUGUAAGUAGAGGAAAUCCAGUCUUUGUAUGAAAUACUUUUCAUUUGUGAUUUCCUCAUUGGUAAACCAUCACGAAGGUUAAUACUGCACGUAAUCAAUAUGUUCGAUCGCCUUGUCAUGGGUGCACUUUCGGGAAACUCUAAUAAGAGCUGCAAGUGACCCUUUACGAGGUGUUUUGUAGUUAUUAGCUGCAGAUCUGUAGCGUUAUGGUUUUAUAUUCUUGUCUUUGACCAUAACGCUACAGUUCCUGUAACGUAAAUAUUGUGCAAUUUACGGCGCAAGAUUUUCUGCGCACGUUUGGGGAUGUAUUUAUCCACUUUCCAGCAUUGGGCAAUCAUCUACCCUUCAUUCCCUAAUUGUAAACAUAUUUUAUUACCAACCUGUAUAUUUUAUCCACCUCUCAAUCCUUUAUAACCGAUAAACUCGCUUGUUUUGAAUUUUCUGCCAUCCGAUCUCGUCAGUAGGUCAACAUAGCUGUCGGAUGGCAGAAAAUUCAAAACAAGCGAGUUCAUCGGUCUGUAGAGACGAUUAUAAAGGAUUGAGAGGUGGAUAAAAUAUACAGGUUGGUAAUAAAAUAUGUUUACAAUUAGGGAAUGAAGGGUAGAUGAUUGCCCAAAGCUGGAAAGUGGAUAAAUACAUCCCAAAACGUGCGCAGAAAAUCUUGCGCCGUAAAUUGCACAAUAUUUACGUUACAGGAACUGUAGCGUUAUGGUCAAAGACAAGAAUAUAAAACCAUAACGCUUCAGCUAUGUAGUUAUCAGAUACCAAUCGUAACUACUCAGCCAUUUUCACAAGCGAUAGUUGCUUGCAAAAAAUGGCAGAGUAGGCCUAGUUACGAAUGUAUCAGAUUCUAGGAUAGUCGACAGUCACGUGACGCGUUUUAUCCAAUGAUUUAAUCUGAGGCAAAACAAACCCAUUUGAGGCUUUGGUAAAUUUUAUUUUAACCUCAUAUGCUCUUUUCACGGGUGCACCUAUAUUUUACAGUUUUCUUCAUGGAUAGAUCUGUGUAAAUGAUGUACCAAGCACAUUCCUCUGUAUGAGAAUCACAAAAUCAUGAUAGUGUAAUGUUCCAUAUUUUUACGAAUCAAGUCGAUUUCAAUACACUAAUUGCUAUUAUAUAUCUCAGUACAUAUUUCUGUACCAUUACCAUUCUUUUUUAUGUCAUUUCUGGAGAUUAUGUUUUGAUCUUUUAGGCGUUGUAGUAGCUCCAGUUUCCGAUGCUGAAUUUUCCAUUGUUUGGGGGAAUAGAAAUUAAAUACAAUAUAUCAAAUGUGCACAUAUCAUAAAAUAAAAAUGAUGAAUAUGAACCCAGCAUUGCUUUUGAAUUAAGAUAGUUUGUGGUGAUUAAGAAACAGUCAUGGAACAACUUUUCAGCAAAGUGUGUGCAAUUAUUUGCAGGAAUUUUUUCUGUUUUUCUUUUGGUACGUUACAACUACAAUGUGUUGUGUUCAGACACGUCUGUAUAAUUGAUGAUGUUUUUUAUGCCCAACAUGUUGUCAGUUUUAUGUUAUGAAAUAAAAAAGUGAUGCAUUUU
Long non-coding RNA from Ostrea edulis (European flat oyster), 6192 nucleotides. RefSeq lists it as uncharacterized. The transcript has 2 exons. NCBI's taxonomy places the organism in Eukaryota, Metazoa, Mollusca, Bivalvia, Ostreida, Ostreidae. The record is from RefSeq and is a predicted model, not a curated record.